RNAcentral lists this ribosomal RNA (198 nucleotides) under bacterium enrichment culture DGGE band D2. RNAcentral describes it as "partial 16S ribosomal RNA". It matches the Rfam family "Bacterial small subunit ribosomal RNA", at positions 335 to 525 of the family's 1533-position model. The record is from RNAcentral.
ACUCCUACGGGAGGCAGCAGUGGGGAAUAUUGCACAAUGGGCGCAAGCCUGAUGCAGCCAUGCCGCGUGUAUGAAGAAGGCCUUCGGGUUGUAAAGUACUUUCAGCGAGGAGGAGGGCGAUAAGGUUAAUAACCUUGUCGAUUGACGUUACUCGCAGAAGAAGCACCGGCUAACUCCGUGCCAGCAGCCGCGGUAAUA